This is a long non-coding RNA of Oncorhynchus tshawytscha (Chinook salmon), 790 nucleotides long. The record is from Ensembl. NCBI's taxonomy places the organism in Eukaryota, Metazoa, Chordata, Actinopteri, Salmoniformes, Salmonidae.
GUCUGAUUCUAGAACCUUGGCGGGCGUGGAAGUGUAUGUGUAUGAGAUAGGACUGUAGUAGGAGGGUCGUUGUGGUGGGCCCCUCUGUGUGAGAUAGGACUGUAGUAGGAGGGUCGUUGUGGUGGGCCCCUCUGUGUGAGAUAGGACUGUAAUAGGAGGGUCGUUGUGGUGGGCCCCUCUGUGUGAGAUAGGACUGUAGUAGCAGGGUCGUUGUGGUGGGCCCCUCUGUGUGAGAUAGGACUGUAGUAGCAGGGUCGUUGUGGUGGGCCCCUCUGUGUGAGAUAGGACUGUAGUCGGAGGGUCGUUGUGGUGGGCCCCUCUGUGUGAGAUAGGAGGGUUGUUGUGGUGGGCCCCUCUGUGUGAGAUAGGAGGGUCGUUGUGGUGGGCCCCUCUGUGUGAGAUAGGAGGGUCGUUGUGGUGGGCCCCUCUGUGUGAGAUAGGACUGUAGUAGCAGGGUCGUUGUGGUGGGCCCCUCUGUGUGAGAUAGGACUGUAGUCGGAGGGUCGUUGUGCUGGGCCCCACUGUGUGAGAGAGGACUGUAGUCAGAGGGUCGUUGUGGUGGGCCCCUCUAUGUGAGACAGGACUGUAGUAGCAGGGUCGUUGUGGUGGGCCCCUCUGUGUGAGAUAGGAGGGUUUUUGUGGUGGGCCCCUCUGUGUGAGAUAGGAGGGUGUUGUGGUGGGCCCCUCUGUGUGAGAUAGGAGGGUUGUUGUGGUGGGCCCCUCUGUGUGAGAUAGGAGGGUCGUUGUGGUGGGCCCCUCUGUGUGAGAUAGAAGGGUUGUUGUGGUGGGC